RNAcentral lists this long non-coding RNA (238 nucleotides) under Ornithorhynchus anatinus (platypus). RNAcentral describes it as "lncRNA (ENSOANG00000047443.1)". Lineage: Eukaryota; Metazoa; Chordata; Mammalia; Monotremata; Ornithorhynchidae. The record is from RNAcentral.
CUUGGUGACUAUCAACCAUCAACCUUUUGUAUCCCAUAGUGCAGUGCAUUUGAAGAGACUGUCCUACUGAAGAGAACCACUGGAGGCUUAGCAAUCCCAAGGCAUUUGGAGCCACAGCCAAGAGUUAAGCAAUUGAUGGCAGAUGUUUUCCCCUGGAAAAUCCAAAUGGACCUGUAAUAUCACAAGCCUUUCCACAGGUUUUGGGGCAUCUCUCUUGUCACUCAAACCUUCAACUUCA